This 1056-nucleotide long non-coding RNA is filed under the name Macaca fascicularis (crab-eating macaque). RNAcentral describes it as "lncRNA (ENSMFAG00000050779.1)". Lineage: Eukaryota; Metazoa; Chordata; Mammalia; Primates; Cercopithecidae. The record is from RNAcentral.
UUGGGUCCUCAGCCCUGCCUCCCAGGAACCCUGGAGGGCCGCCCUGCUCAGGCUAUUCCUGGCAUAAGCGCAUGACAGCGGGGAAGGUACAGAUGUGGGAUUCUGGACCCUUCUGCCAACAGAAGAACCGGGCGCCAUGGAGCCUCCUCCCAGCUGCCCUGGGCACGCUGGAAAUACCUCCGCAGGCUGUUUGCUUUCCCUUCCUUUCAGCGCCCAACGUGUGUUGUUCUGUGCCCAGAGGAACCGGCUCUUCGGGUUCUGUGAGUCCAGGGGAUUGGAGCCAGUGGAGCCCCGGGGCCUGGGAGUCUAAAUUUGACCUUGAGAUUUGCUUUUUUGGGGAGUCAGGGCCAGCUGCCCACAGCAGGGUCUUAGCAUGGAGCCAGGGUUCCACGUCCCCCUCGUUCCAGCUCAGGGCGAGGUGGCAGAAGGGAAAGGAGGGAAACAGAGCGGUGGGGAGUUUCACUUCUGUUCUCUCUUUUCUGUGUGCUUCCUUGUGUUUUAAAUAAUAUUUAUGUGGCAUUUACCAGGCGGCGUGUGCAUUAUAAUUCCCUCAAUUUUACUGAUGAGGAAACCGAGGCGGAGGAGAGUGAGUAGCUGCAGAGCUGCCCUGCGGAGCCGGGCCAUCUGGCACUGGAGACAGGCUUCUAUCCUUGGAUAUAUUAAAAACAAGCAAGCGGCUGAGGCAGGCGGAUCAUGAGGUCAGGAAAUCGAGACCAUCCGGGCUAACACAGUGAAACCCCAUCUCUACUAAAAAUACAAAAAAUUAGCUGGGCCUGGUGGCACACACCUAUAGUCCCAGCUACUUGGGAGGCUAAGGCAGGAGAAUCACUUGAACCCAGGAAGCAGAGGUUGCAGUGAACCAAGAUCAUGCCACUAAACUCCAGCCUGGGCAACAGAGUGAGACUCCGUCUCAAAUAACAGAAAACAAGCAGGUGCAGGUGCUUAUGCCUGUAGUCCCAGCUAUUUGGGAGGCUGAGAUGGAAGGAUCGCUUGAACCCAGGAGUUAGAGCAGCCUGGGCAACAUAGCAAGACCCUGUCUUAAAAAGAAAAAAAAAA